This is a long non-coding RNA of Triticum aestivum (bread wheat), 1338 nucleotides long. RefSeq lists it as uncharacterized. NCBI's taxonomy places the organism in Eukaryota, Viridiplantae, Streptophyta, Magnoliopsida, Poales, Poaceae. The transcript has 3 exons. The record is from RefSeq and is a predicted model, not a curated record.
UACCACUGGUGGGGUGUGCCGCCGCCACGCCACAUCCCAGCGAGCCUGCACGCGUCCUCCUCUCCUCACCCGUGGCCGUGGGAAUACAUCAGCGGCCACAAACAGCGGUCGCCGCAUCUGACGAGGGAGAAGCUCCCUGAUGGGUGAUCGGAAUCGGAAGGUGGGACGGACGAUGGUUGUGCCGCGCGGGCGAUCGAUCGAGGUCAUGGUGGACGCAGCCGAGGAGAUCGAUGAGACGGCCGAUCCAUGGAGGUGGACGCAGCCGAGGAGAUGAGAUGCUCGAUCGGCCAUCUCAUCUCAUCCAUCCUUCUAAUUCCCUAGAUUCCGCUCCGCAUAUGGAUGAGAUAUUCUGCAACACCACCACAUUUGGGUGCCUCCAGGUGCUCAUCAGUCGGAGCGAAGAAAGAACUUUGUCUUUAGCAUCAUACCACUUCAAGAGGCAAUCAGUGGUGAAACUCCCUACAGUGUAGGUUCCUCUGAAGAAGGCAGUAGGCACCUCAUGAAAAUCAGAAAGGAAGUCUUUUUUGUUCCCUAGCUUAAUGGCCUUGACAGAGCAGCUGCGGUUUGUGUUGUCAUAAGAAAAGGGACUGUCUAUUUGACAUUUGACUGUUUUUCAAUUCGACAACAUUCAUAUUUUCUGACAAAUGAACAGUUGACACCUGUCGACAGCACAAAAUGGGACGCCAAAACGGGUCACGGAAAAGAUCUGACCCGGUUCGCUGGACAACUAGCCACUCCAAAAAAUUCAGGAACCAACUCCCUUGAUCUUCAGGACCACACAGUACGUGCCCAGCUUGCAACGCAUGAAAAGGGCCAAACCCCUCCCACAAACCACUCAACAGAUCUCACCUAACAACACAAAACAGCAAAUCAGAAGGGGGAAGAUGGAGGCGGCCAUGGGCGAGGGGGGAGGAGAAGAAGGGAGAUCAAGCAUAAAUCAGAAGGGUUUGGGAGAAGAGGAUGUACCUGACGAGGAACAAGAAGGAAGAACAUCGGAGGGAAUUCAACAACUAUCCCAACUGCUCACCAUCUUCUCUCUUCACCUGUCACAAGAACAAAUCAGGAGGAAUUUUCUUCAUCUACAAGAGAUAGAUCAACAUCAGCUGUAUUUCUGGGCAAAUCCCAUAAUUUUUGUGAUCAAUUACGUUGACAUCAACAUGGAAAUUACACUGAAAUGCUGAAAUUGUUCAAUGGAAAAUACAGUUUAGUUUUCGGAAAACUUACAAGAAUAUUUACAAUGUAAAUUAACAUGGAAAUACAGCACUUCUGAAUUUCCAGUGUAAAUCCCAAUGUAAAUUCCAGUGUACAUCCUGACGUAAAAUCAAGUGUUACAGUAAA